AACGAACGCUGGCGGCAGGCUUAACACAUGCAAGUCGAGCGCCCCGCAAGGGGAGCGGCAGACGGGUGAGUAACGCGUGGGAAUCUACCGUGCCCUACGGAAUAGCUCCGGGAAACUGGAAUUAAUACCGUAUACGCCCUUUGGGGGAAAGAUUUAUCGGGGUAUGAUGAGCCCGCGUUGGAUUAGCUAGUUGGUGGGGUAAAGGCCUACCAAGGCGACGAUCCAUAGCUGGUCUGAGAGGAUGAUCAGCCACAUUGGGACUGAGACACGGCCCAAACUCCUACGGGAGCAGCAGUGGGAAUAUUGGACAAUGGGCGCAAGCCUGAUCCAGCCAUGCCGCGUGAGUGAUGAA
RNAcentral lists this ribosomal RNA (352 nucleotides) under uncultured bacterium. RNAcentral describes it as "bacterial SSU rRNA". It matches the Rfam family "Bacterial small subunit ribosomal RNA", at positions 29 to 412 of the family's 1533-position model. The record is from RNAcentral.